Molecule: ribosomal RNA, 667 nt
Filed under: uncultured Piloderma
Lineage: Eukaryota; Fungi; Basidiomycota; Agaricomycetes; Atheliales; Atheliaceae
Description: eukaryotic LSU rRNA
Rfam family: 5.8S ribosomal RNA (bases 260-414)
Source: RNAcentral
CUUGGUCAUUUAGAGGAAGUAAAAGUCGUAACAAGGUUUCCGUAGGUGAGCCUGCGGAAGGAUCAUUAUUGAAAUUAUAGGUGAGGGUUGUAGCUGGCCUCUCGGGGCAUGUGCACGCCUGAGCCCUUAAUCCACACACACCUGUGAACCUAUUGUAAGGGCCCUCAAAAAGGCCUUUACGUCUUAUCAUCAACCCAUCGUAUGUCUCAUAGAAUGUAAAUAUAUGUCCUCGCCUUAAAAAGCGUUGAUAAACUUAUACAACUUUCAACAACGGAUCUCUUGGCUCUCGCAUCGAUGAAGAACGCAGCGAAAUGCGAUAAGUAAUGUGAAUUGCAGAUUUUCAGUGAAUCAUCGAAUCUUUGAACGCACCUUGCGCUCCUUGGUAUUCCGAGGAGCAUGCCUGUUUGAGUGUCAUUAAAUUCUCAAACUCUGAUUGAUUUGUUUCAAUCGAGCUUUGGAUUUGGAGCGUGCCGGCGUCAGUCGGCUCCUCUUGAAUGCAUCAGCGGAAUCCCAUUCAUUUCGGACGUCAGUGUGAUAAUCAUGUUGUGCUGUCUUUACGAUCUUGAAAGCCCGCUCACAAUGGUCUUCGGACAAACCUCACUAUCAUAUUUGACCUCAAAUCAGGUAGGACUACCCGCUGAACUUAAGCAUAUCAAUAAGCGGAGGA